UGACGGUACCACUUGAAUAAGCUCCGGCUAACUACGUGCCAGCAGCCGCGGUAAUACGUAGGGGGCAAGCGUUAUCCGGAUUUACUGGGUGUAAAGGGAGCGUAGACGGUUUGGCAAGUCUGAAGUGAAAUGCGGGGGCUCAACUCCUGAACUGCUUUGGAAACUGUCGAACUAGAGUGCAGGAGAGGUAAGUGGAAUUCCUAGUGUAGCGGUGAAAUGCGUAGAUAUUAGGAGGAACACCAGUGGCGAAGGCGGCUUACUGGACUGUAACUGACGUUGAGGCUCGAAAGCGUGGGGAGCAAACAGGAUUAGAUACCCUG
RNAcentral lists this ribosomal RNA (320 nucleotides) under uncultured bacterium. RNAcentral's name for it is "bacterial SSU rRNA". It matches the Rfam family "Bacterial small subunit ribosomal RNA", at positions 470 to 789 of the family's 1533-position model. The record is from RNAcentral.